This 29673-nucleotide long non-coding RNA is filed under the name Nicotiana tabacum (common tobacco). RNAcentral describes it as "long non-coding RNA (NTAB_LNC003536)". The record is from RNAcentral. Lineage: Eukaryota; Viridiplantae; Streptophyta; Magnoliopsida; Solanales; Solanaceae.
CACACGAAAAAAAUAGAGGGUCUGGAAGAAAAAUCUUAGGGUUUUGAAGAAAAAUAGUUUUCUAUAAUUUGUGAUUUGAUUUUCUUUUUCUAAAAUAUUCCAGAUAACCAAAAAAAUAUUUCUGUUUUUUUAGUUGAGUGAAGAUUUGACUUCAGGUAGUUCGUUUUAAAAAAAUGUUGUUUAUCAUCUUUGAUUUCUGGUUUCAAAAAAAAAGUGGAUGCAAGUUGAGGUUUGAAGCUGAUUCAAUUCGUCGUUUGGAGGUUCGAGUUCGGGGUUCCGAUUGAGGUUUUUGAUUGUUGUUGUUUGCUCUCGUCGGACUUCUGGAAUCAGAAUUUGUGUAUUUGUUGAUUCUUUAACUGUUGCUAAGAAUUUUGGUUUAAUAGGUACCUUUCUAUUACUCCUGCCUCUAUAUUGUUUCUUAGUUUGUGGUUAAAUGAGAGAUUGUUGGUCUGAAUUUUUGGAUGCCAAAAUAUUUGUGAUCAUUUUUCUGUUUGUGAUACUAAAAUUAGUUUGUCUUCUCUUAUGAGGUAAAAUUGAAGAUUUGAAUGAGUUUUUUUAGUUAAUAAAUGGGUUCAUCUAUUUUAUCUCAAAUUAUGAUAUUUGAGUAGUGAAAUUUUACUACAAGAUUUUCAACACAAAUUUGGUCCAACUCAGUGUUCUUUCUUUCGAGAUUUAGCUUGUGUAUAAAUUUUGCCUAUUAAACUUUUCUUAUUAGCUUACAGUAGGCUUAAGGUAUGAAUUUCCUGCCUUAUUUUAGUUGUAAUGACCUUAUGUUAAAUUGGUGGAAUUUAAGCAAUAUGAUACCAAAUUUUGGUUAAGUAGCUGCAAAUCUCCCGAGCUCUCUUAGGUGUUAAAUCUGCUUAAUUACUUGAUGUGUGGAUUAUUGUUAUUUUGCAAAGGUGUCAUGUUUAUAUUAUUUACUUGGAUGUUUCACGGAAUUGAGGUUGAAUAUGAUUUUUUUCUUGAAUUGGAUGUUUUGUUGCGUUCAAGAUUUGGAAAAUAUACGAGUAUUUAUCUGUUGUUAGAAAGAUGUCCUUUUGGUGUUUAACCAAGACCGUUAUUUAUUCAUUUACAUUAGUUAUUUUAUUGUUGUUUAUUCUUAUUCUCUUAAUUCCUUGCUCCAACUAAUUGGCGUCUGUUCGCUUCUUAGAUUUUCUCUCUAUGAAUGGUAUGAGCCGUAAGGUUGGGAAGGGCCUACCCCUUUUAGUGAUUAAAAUUACUUACAUGUCUAGGAAUUGGAAUGUGUCGAAUGCAUGAAAUCCUUUUAGUAAAAAUUCUCCAUAACCUCGGGCCCUUCUUUCUCACAAUCACCAAAUUGAGAAUUACACAAUUCAUAAACAUCGUAGUUUGCUUUAGGCGCGACUUAAUUUAUCAUCGGGAUUGUGUACACGUUCGCGUGACAUAAUUACGAUUUUAAAACAAAACCAGAGUAUGCAUCCGCGUAACUUCGGCCAAACUUUCUUAAUAAUGAUAAAGCAUUAUUAAUUGUGGACACGUUCGCGUGACAUGAUUUUUGGCGCGCCAAACAAAUGAGUACACGUACACGUGACUCGUUUUAAGAUAAUUCCAUAAUUACGAAUAAUCAAGCAAUUAAAAGCGGUAAAAAGGUAAAUGCACAUAGGUUCUAAAAUAUGUAAUUAAACAAUUUAAUUGAGCCAAGUAUGAUUAAAGCGACCAUGCUAAAACCACGGAACCCGGGAAUGCCUAACACCUUCUCUCGGGUUAAUAGAAUUUCUUACCCGGAUGUUUGUGUUCGCAGACCAUAAAUAGAGUCAAAACUUUCCUCGAUUCGGAAUUUUAAACCGGUGACUUGGGACACCAUAAAUUAUCCCAAGUGGCGACUCUAAAUUUAAUAUAGAUAAUCCCGUUUUGAUUGUCAGUUAAAUUGAAAAAACUCCCUUAUACCCCUUUCGGGGUAGAAAAAGGAGGUGUGAUAUCAAAGACGUGUUUUCCUAUUCCUAUGAUGAUAUGCCAGGACUGAGUGUUGAUUUAGUGGUGCACAAAUUGCCAACUUACCCCGAUUAUCCCCCUGUCCAACAAAAAUCGAGAAAGUUUAAAAUAGACAACGGUGACUAGAUCAAAGAAGAAGUCACCAAAUAGUUGAAAGCGUGUGUGAUCCGGGUGGUCCGAUACACCACAUGGUUGGUUAAUGUAGUCCCAGUGCCAAAGAAAGAUUGAAAAACCCGAGUGUAUGUUGAUUAUCAGGAUUUGAACAAAGCAAGACCUAAGGACAACUUUCCAUUACCAAAUAUCCACAUCCUUAUUGACAACUAUGCCAAACAUGAGAUACAGUCUUUCGUGGAUUGUUACACUAGGUAUCAUCAGGUCCUGAUGGAAUAAUGAAGACGCAGAAAAGACGACUUUCACCAUACCUUGGGUUAUUUACUGUUACAGGGUCAUGCCGUUUGGUUUAAAGAAUGCUGGGGGAACUUACAUGAGAGCUAUGACUGCCAUCUUUCUUGACAUGAUGCACCAGGAAAUUGAGGUGUAUGUGGAUGAUGUGAUCAUUAAAUCCAGAAUGCAGGAUGACCAUGUGCGAGAUUUGAGAUAGUUCCUUGAGCGCCUGCGUAAGUAUGAUGUGAAGUUAAAUCCAGCUAAGUGUGCAUUUGGAGUACCAUCUAGGAAACUUUUGGGUAUAUAGUCAGUGUAUUCGGAAUUUGCCCCCUCCGAGAACCAAUAAAGAGGUUAUGAGUCUACUGGGAAGGUCGAAUUACAUUAGUAGGUUCAUUGCUCUGUUGACUUCCACGUGUGAGCCCAUAUUUAUGUUAUUGAAGAAAGAUGCAGCGAUUAGAUGGAUAGAUGAAUGUCAAGAAGCUUUCGACAAAAUCAAAGAAUAUCUGUCGAAUCCGCUAGUGUCGGUCCCACCCAAACUUGGAAGGCUUUUGUUCUUGUACUUGACAGUGUUGGAGAAUUCUUUUGGAUGUGUUCUCGGGCAACAUGAUGUGACCGAGAAGAAAGAACAAGUCAUAUACUAUUUGAGCAAGAAGUUCACUAGUUAUGAAGCCAAGUACGCUUUGUUGGAACGAACUUGCCGCGCUUUAACUUGGGCCGCUCAGAAGCUUAGACAUUACUUGUUGGCUUAUACCACCUAUCUCAUAACCAGGCUGGACCCCUUGAAGUACAUAUUCCAAAAGUCGAUGCCCAUAGGGAGGUUAUCAAAAUGGCAAAUCCUGCUCACCGAGUUUGACAUAGUCUAUGUCACCCACACGGCGAUGAAAGCUCAAGCCUUGGCGGAUCACUUAGUUGAGAAUCCUGUUGAUGAUGAAUACCAACCCUUGAUUACUUAUGAUCACGCUCAACUAUGUCUAUUAAAAGACUAAGCGGGUGUUGCAAAUAUAAUUCAGGGUAUUAUGCCCCGAGUCGAAUCCCACAGGGAAUUAACGUAUCAAGAGAAGCCUUUAAAGUACUAAAUUCUUAUAAGUCAACCUUCUCAAACUUUGUAAAUAACAAGUGGUGUUAUGGUCACUACUCCAACUAACAGAAUCGAUAAAAUGAAGAUUAACUACUACACAGUUGUAGACAAUUGGAAUAAAGGUCUAAGGUAAUGGUUUUCCCCGUUAUUGAAUUCCUUAGUCGUAUGUUUCUUAAAGUUAUGAAUUAGUUGUCUUUGUCGAUCAUGAACUCUCCAGUUAUCAUAACUCUCUCUCAAGCAAUUAUGAUAAUUUACUAGACGCACUCUCUCAAGCUACACUAGCUAGAUUCGCAUUACAGUUCACUUAGAUUGCACCCGAGGUAUCGUUAUCUCUACUCCAACCUCUAAACCCUCGGUUAUGACUCUCGCCUAUACUCCGGGAGUGAUGUUGUUCAAACAAUAACCUAAAUAUGGACUCUCUCUCAAGAAGAUACAUAAUAAAUAGGAACGGCUAAUGGAGGAUCCUUUCAACUAACCAAAAUCAAAACGUAGUUGAACAAAUAGAGAUUAACAACCAAUUCAAACUAUAUUAAUAUAACAACAAGUUCAUCCACAAUGGGUUCACCCAAAACCUUAGAUUAAAAGAGUUAGCUACUCAUAACAAUGAUGUUCAUCACAAUAAUUAAAUUCAUUACAAAUCAUAAAAACAAAAGGAAGAAGAGAAGAACUUGAUGUAGAAUACUCCUCCUUGACUUUCCUUUUCUUGCUCUCAGCUAUCAAAAGUUGCACACACACUCCUUGGGCGAGCUUGACCUUCUAUAUAUUAAGUGAAUUUUCCCCCCAGACUUCCAAAUUUACCCCCAGGAAUUAUUUUCCGGAACUGGGCUAGCGCGGCCGCGCUAGUGGGCGCGCUAAUGGCCGUGCUAGUAGCCUUACCAUUCUGCCUCGACCAUCUGGGCUAGCACGGUCGCGCUAGUGGAUGCGCUAAUGGCCACGCUAGUCCAGGCCUUCAUUUGGUUGAUUCUUUUUCUCGUCGUCUCACUUACUCAGCUCCUAGGGGUCUUUCUUGCUUCAAUGCAGCUCCAAUCACAUUUUUAAGGCCUUAUAUAAGCUCCUCAUUCCUACAACACAAUUUAGAGCUCAUUUUUCAUCAUUUGAUUAUAUUAGAGCAUUGAAACAUAAUCAAGCUGGGGCAAAACAAUCGUCAAAUGACAUAAAUCUAGCCUAAUAUCAACAGCCCACACUUAAAUCUUUGCUAGUCCUCGAGCAAUCCACCACCUUUUAUGAAGGUUCCUUCACUAAGCAUUCUUCCCUAACGCAUCAUACCAUGAACAGAUCACAUGAGUUACACCUAGUAGUGAACAAUCUUAUCCUCAAAAGUUGACUCUCACGUGUCGUGCAAUAUUCAUACUUUCUCAAGCUACUCUACACAUAAGUCAAUAAGUGCCUUUCCUUCAUGAAUCACAUUCCCUCACCUUCACACAAAGAGAGUAGUUCCACAUAUAAUGAUAUUUAGAACAAUUAGGAACUUAGAUAGAUGAACUUCACUCACUCUCAGAAAUUACAUUCACAUGUCACAAAGAUGCACCAUAAGCUUGCUCGUAGUGUACUACUCUACUAAUUGAGCCACUCAGUCUAAGAUCAAUAGGACUUCACUUGGUUGUAAUGUAGGCUAAGGGACUGAUAGGAUAUAUUUGGUGUAGUGACUAACCUCCCUAAGCACUUUUUAAUACAAUUACAUUAACAUUCAAAACCAUACUUCUGUCAACCAAACAUUUCACCACCGUUCUUUUAUUUACCACAACCCCAUCCAUUAGGUGCAAUUAUAGAAAACCACCACUUCUCAACCACUGUAUUAUUCUCCUUUUUUAAUGGUGGUGCUUCAUUUCUUAUGCGACAAAAUUCUACACCUUUUUUCGAUUUCUGUGGUUCCACUCAAAAACCAACCCCACCCCACACCUUUGCCUUUGCAUAAUUCUCAAUACCAUUCAAGUGCUUAUGUGAGGAAAGAGGGUUCAAAUAGAAGGCUAUUCAAAUAAUUGGGUAAGGUUUGCAAUGUGUUUGCCAAAGAAAUAGGCUUAUAGGCUCAACGGGGUUAACUAAGAUGUAUUGCAGUUAGGUGGGUUUACUUUAUAAGUCUGGCUCAACAAGGAAUUGCCUAUAUCACUUCUAAGACUGAAUGAAACUACUAUUUCGCUUUGCAAACACACAGGGCAAGUUCUAGGCAUCAAAUGUGAAUCAUGGAAUACAGUAAAACUCACACAUAUGGCAUAUGACUCAUUCAAGAUUGGCUUAUCAAGACACUCUCUUCUGAGUAUUCAAGUCAGUGACGAAUAUACAAUUUAAGGCACUUUAGCAAGAAUCAACUACUGAGAAUAAGCGUUACACUCUAGUGUCUAUUGUGUUCAGGUGUAAUAAUGCUAGAGGCUUUUCUUUUCGAAUUCAGCUCAUUAUUCCAUUAAUCCUAAUUUAAAAACUAAAAAGAAAACAAAAUGAUUACAAAACUACCUAUACCCGGUUCAAGUUAAACCCUUGGAAAAGAACCGUGGCCCAAAGAAAAACCAAGGGGGAGUUACUACACUACCUAAAAAAAUCUUUUUGUAAUUUUAAAUUGUUUUUCUUACAUACUAGCUUCCCUCAAGAAAAUUAUCUAAAGGAUCCAUCAUCAGGAAGAGUCUUUAUUUUCAUUUUUUUUAUGCUCGACUUAGUCCAAGAUACUUACCUAUUUUAAACUAAUCAACUCCUACUUAAUCAUCAAAGCAAUCAAAGCUAAACCACCAAAACAAUCAAAACAAAACAAAACCAACUAGUCAAAGGUUACAAUUACAUAUAUACAAUGAAGUAUCCCUACCCCACACUUAUAAUUAAGACAUGUCCCCAUGGCUUUAAAAAAUUAAAGAGUAGUGAGGUAGAGGUACUUCCCUGAUGGCUCACUCCUGGUCGGAGACGGUGUCUAGGUUCACAUUGCACGCGCGACCCAGAGCUCUCAACCAGCCCAAGAACUUCUUUUCAGACUUUACCUGUCUGUCAGCCACGGCCUCAACACGGGUACCUAAAUCUGUGACUGAAGUACGUAACCCAACCAUCUCUUGUUUCAAAUUGUUCAUACGGGUGCUCCGGGGACUAGGGUUCAGUCCUUACAUUCUCCUCUUCUUCAUCUUUAUCGCCUGAGUCGUCAGAGCUACCACUACUCUCUUCCUCUGCUGCUGCUGGCUCCUUUCCCAUGGUUACUUUGUCCGCUCGAAACUUGCGGUCCUUUUUCACAAGCCCAUCCGCAGCUAGAUUUUUGGGCACUCGAGCAUACCUGUAGUGAGAGUGAGGAGUAGAUAAGAGGGUUAAAGGGGAAUGUUGUUGGAGACGAAGAUGAAAAUUUUCUGGAAGAAGGGAGUAGAAGAAGAAAAGAAUUUGAGUUGUGAGAGAUUGGGGAGGGUUUUGUGAAUUGUUUUAGGGCGUGUGUUUUGGUGUGGGGGGGGGGGGUUGUUAGAUGUGGGUUAUUAGAUGAGGGGGGAAUUUGGAUUAAAGAAAGAGAAAAAAAAUAAUUGAAUGAUACAAAAAAAUAAGAACAAGUGUUACGUUUUAAAAAAAUGUCCCUGAGUAGCGCGUUCAGAUGCGCGAGAGCGCUAGUCUAGUGCGUCCAAGGUAGAAAGUUUUGGCAAUUUAGUGCGAUCGCGCUAGUAGCGCGGCCGUGCUGGGAGGCUUCAAUUUUAUUUUAUUUUUUACACUUUUCACCUGAUUUUUCCAUUUUUCGAUUGCCUUAUCACCCGCCCAUUGUCACCUGCAUUGGUUAGCAUUUUAAAAAACUCACAAUUAACCACUACUACUACUACUGUCGGGUUGCCUCCCGACCAGCUCCUAAGUUAACGUCGUGGAACGACACAAACAACGUUACCACUUUUCUCGCCACUUGGAUGAUAUGAACUGGGCACCUAGCUUGGAAUCAAGCUUGUGACCACGAGCGAUGGGGGGUGGUAAGUCGAUGAUCAAGUCAAUCCUUAAGUUCUUCAUUUUGUACUUCUUGGCUCUCAUGUGAGGAAUGUCAUUUUGCUUUCUUGCUUCCUCCAACUGUAAAAUUUAUGAUUGUUGCCUUUCCUCCUCGCAAUCCCUCAUUGACCCGUGCAGUUCAAUUUUCAUAUCACCACACAAUUCCAAUGUUGAAAAAUGCUUGGAAUGUGACUUCAAACCAUCAUUUUGCAAUUUUCCUCGGAUUUUGACAACCUCUUUUUUUCCCGGAUUAGAGUCAAUUUCAACCACAUUUUCAUUUACACAGGUUGACUCUAAUUCCAUAUUUUUCUUGGCAUUAUUAACACUCAUGGGGUCGGUUAGCGGAUGUUCAAUUCUUGAAUCCUCAAAGUAAAGCUCACUUUCUUCCUCGGAAUUGGGCUUUUCUUGGCUUCCUUCCACACUCUCAAGUUGGUGGGAAUAGUGAGCCUCAACCAAUAUUUGCAUUUGAUCCUCCAAAGUGCGGAUAUGCUCAUCAUUGUGAGACAAACCUUGUUUCUAGUCCUCGAGUGCAAAGUUGUGCUUCUCCUUAUUUUUAAGAAUGGUCUCCAACAUGAGCAUCAUCUUCUCAUUUUGAGCAAUUGCGAGUUUUUCUUGGUUUUGUUCAAGUGCCAAGGGAGGAUUUUCGGCUUCCACAUCUAAGGAAAAUUCUUGGCUAUCAUUAACUUCCGAGGAUUUUUGGACCUCUAAAGCUUCAAGCAUUUUCUCCAUUUGCACAUUUAACCUUUCUAGUGUCAAGCCAUUUUGGAGACUAUUCUCCAAAAGCUCCUCCAAGGCAUGUUGUUCUUUGUUUCCUCCUUCAAGUAGGCAUUCUAACAUGAGCUUGAACUCUCCAUUUCGGCCAUGCUCAACUUCUUAUACUUCCAUAGCCCUAUAAUUUUCAUCACAAAAAGUAGAAUCAUCAUAGCGGGGGCUUCGGGAAGGGAAGGACAAAUAAGCACAAUCAUCCCAAUGACCAUUUUGAAAAUCACACUUAUCACAAAUACUCCACUCAUGGGUUUGAGAUUGUACGCACAAUCCACCCCCGGGAGAAUUUAAACAAUUUUUCCAUGAGUGUGGUCCUCCACAAUAAGGACAAGGGUCAUCAAAGUAAAAAUAACUACAAUCCGACCAAUUUUCAUUAUAUGAUGCCAUUUUUCAAAACUAAGAAAAUAAACAAGAAAUAAACAAUAAAAAUAGACCAAGGUAUAGAGAGAACUAACUACACUAAGAAUUUUGGUACUUCUUUCAAUCGUAACUGAUAAUACCGUUAAUUCCCCGGCAACGGCACCAAAAUUGGAUCACGCUCAACUGUGUCUACUAAAAGACUAAGCGGGCGUUGCAAAUAUAAUCCGGGGUAUUAUGCCCCGAGUCGAAUCUCACAGGGAAUUAACGUAUCAAGAGAAGCCUUUAAAGUACUAAAUUCUUAUGAGUCCACCUUCUCAAACUUUGUAAAUAACAAGUGGUGUUAUGGUCACUACUCCAACUAAUAGAAUCGAUAAAAUGAAGAUUAACUACUACGCAGUUGUAGACAAUUAGAAUAAAGGUCUAAGGUAAUGGUUUUCCCCGUUGUUGAAUUCCUUAGUCGUAUGUUUCUUAUAGUUAUGAAUAAGUUGUCUCUGUCGAUCAUGAACUCUCCAGCUAUCAUAACUCUCUCUCAAGCAAUUAUGAUAAUUUACUAGACGCACUCUCUCAAGCUACACUAGCUAGAUUCGCAUUACAGUUCACUUAGAUCGCACCUGAGGUAUCGUUAUCUCUACUCCAACCUCUAAGCCCUCGGUUAUGAAUCUCGCCUAUACUCCGGAAGUGAUGUUGUUCAAACAAUUACCUAAAUAUGCACGCUCUCUCAAGAAGAUACAUAAUAAAUAGGAACGGCUAAUUGAGGAUCCUUUCAACUAACCAAAAUCAAAACGUAGUUGAACAAAUAGAGAUUAACAACCAAUUCAAACUAUAUUAAUAUAACAACAAGUUCAUCCACAAUGGGUUCACCCAAAACCUUAGAUUAAAAGAGUUAGCUACUCAUAACAAUGAUGUUCAUCACAAUAAUUAAAUUCAUUACAAAUCAUAAAAACAAAAGGAAGAAGAGAAGAACUUGAUGUAGAAUACUCCUCCUUGCCUCUUGCCUUUCCUUUUCUUGCUCUCAGCUAUCAAAAGCUGCACACACACUCCUUGGGCGAACUUGACCUUCUAUAGGUUAACUGAAUUUGCCCCCAGACUUCCAAAUUUACCCCCAGGAAUUAUUUUCCGGAACUGGGAUAGCGCGACCGCACUAGUGGGCGCGCUAAUGGCCGCGCUAGUAGCCUUACCAUUCUGCCUCGACCAUCUGGGCUAGCACGGUCGCGCUAAUGGCCGCGCUAGUCCAGGCCUUCAUUUGGUCGAUUCUUUUUCUUGUCGUCUCGCUUAUUCAACUCCUAGGGGUCUUUCUUGCUUCAAUGUAGCUCCAAUCACAUCUUUAAGGCCUUAUAUAAGCUCCUCAUUCCUGCAACACAAUUUAGAGCUCAUUUUUCAUCAUUUGAUUAUAUUAGAGCAUUGAAAUAUAAUCAAGUUGGGGCAAAACAAUCGUCAAUGACAUAAAUCUAGCCUAAUAUCAACUUACUUUCCGAAUGAGGAGGUAAAUUCAGUUGAGGUAAUUCCAGAAGACACGAAUGCUUGGAAAAUCUUCUUCGACGGAGCUGUGAAUACAAAAGGUGUUGGGAUUGGGGAAAUUUUGAUUUUGCCCACUGGUCAACAUUAUCCGGCCACAGCCCGGUUUCGGUUUUUCUGUACGAACAACACUUCCGAGUAUGAGGCUUGCAUUAUGGGCAUAAACAUUGUAGUUGAUCAGGAUGUGGAAGAAUUGUUAAUCAUGGGAUAUUCUGACUUGAUUAUUAGACAAGCUCAAGGUGAGUGGGAAACUCGAGAUAUCAAGCUUAUCCCAUACAGACAACAUGUGGAAUAUCUUAGCAAGCGGUUCAAAUUCGUCGAGUUCAGGUACAUUCCUCGGUUUCACAAUGAGUUAGCCAAUGCACUAGCUACUUUGGCCUAGAUGUUGCCGUAUCCAGGCAAUGUCCACAUUAACCCACUGAAAAACCAAAUUCGAGAAAGACAUGGUUACUGCAAUAUAGUUCAAAUGGAACCGGAUAUUCAGCCAUGGUACCAUGAUAUCAAAAGAUUUUUAAAAACAGAGGAAUAUCUCGAACAAGCCAGCGGAGAUCAAAAGAGAACCAUUAGAAGGCUUGCUAGCACUUUCUUCUUAAGCGGAGAGGUCUUGUACAAAAUAACUCCAGAUUUGAACCUUUUAAGAUGCGUGGAUGCCCAAGAGGCUGGAAAAAUCAUGAAUGAGGUGCAUGGGGGAGUAUGUGGACCCCAUAUGAACGGAUACGUCUUUGCAAAGAAAAUCCUUCAAGCAAGUUAUUACUGGAUGACCAUGGAAAAGGAUUACUUCAGUUUUGUCCGAAAGUGUCAUCAGUGUCAGGUACACGGUGACCUGAUUCAGGCACAGCCUUCAGAAUUGCAUCCUAUGUUGGCGCCAUGGCCGUUUGUUGCUUGGGGUAUGGAUGUCAUUGGGCCAAUCGAACCAAAAGCUUCAAAUGGGCACAGAUUCAUUUUAGUUGCCAUUGACUAUUUCACAAAAUGGGUUGAAGCAGUCACUCUUAAAUCCGUCACCAAGAAAGCGGUGGUGGACUUUGUGCAUUCCAACAUUAUCUGUCGCUUUGGUAUUCCUACGAGUAUCAUUACCGGAAAUGAUGCAAAUUUGAAUAGUCAUUUGAUGAGGGAGGUAUGCGAAUAAUUUAAGAUCACACAUCGGAAUUGUACCCCUUAUUGGCCCAAAGCUAAUGGUGAUGUUGGAGUAGCAAAAAAAAAUAUCAAGAAGGUCCUCAGGAAAAUGAUUCAGAGUUCUAGACAAUGACAUGAAAAGUUGUCUUUUGCAUUGUUGGGGUAUCGCACAACCGUGUGCACAUCAGUUGGAGCAAAACCCUAUCUAUUGGUUUAUGGCAUUGAAGCUGUAAUACCUGCAGAAGUUGAGAUUCCCUCUCUUCGAAUCAUCGUUGAAGUUGAGAUUGAGGACAAUGAAUGGGUCAAGACUCGUCUAGAACAGUUAACCCUGAUUGAUGAAAAGCGGAUGGCCGCGGUUUGCCACGAGCAGUUGUAUCAACAAAGAAUGGCUCGUGCCUACAACAAGAAAUUGCGGCCUAGGAACUUUGAAGUGGGGCACCUCGUCUUGAGAUGUAUUCUCCCGCGUCAUAAGGAAGAAAAAGGAAAAUUCGCUCAAAAUUGGAAGGGUCCGUACAUUAUAAGAAAAUUGUUGCCAAAAGGGGCAUUGUACUUGGGAGAUAUUGAAGGAAAUGACCCCGAAAUAGCUGUCAAUGCAGACGCGGUCAAAAGGUAUUACAUUUAACCCUUCUACAGUACUGAUAUUCUCUGAUUGGGAUGACAAAGGCUUUCAUUCUCGCUACCCAAACACUGUUAACCCUUUGCAAACCCUUUGAGCCAAUUACCUUUCUUUGAUUACCCUCUUUGGAACCCAAAAAUGUUGUUAACAAAAUGAAAAGAAAAAAAACAAAACAACAAAAACAAAAACAAAAAAAAAUCAAAAACAAAGUUCUCUGAACUACGUUCGACUUGAUUCCGAAAGGAUACGUAGGCAGCCUCUUUCUGGGGUUCAGUCAUACCAAAACAAAAAUCCACAUUGUCCCAAAGUUGAAACUGGGGCAGAAGUCAUAAUGGUUCCGUGAUAGUUCGCCUGAAAGGUUCCAAAGUUGUAAUUCAAUCCAAACUCUUUUUACCCCCAAAUCAUGUUCAAGCCCUUCCGAUCAAUCGAUAAAGAUGUUCAAAAUUGGAGGAUGUGUUUACUUGGGUUUGAUACAAUUAAAUGAGAGAAAUAAAAUGAGAGAGUCUUAUUGGUGAAAAUCCACAAGAGCACCAUAGGGCGAUGGUAAGCAGAGAAAUUGAAAAUGAGAGAGUCUUGUUAGUGAAAACUCGCAAAGAGCACUAUAAGACGACGGUGAGAAGAGAAAUGAGAGAGGUUAGUUGGUGAAAGCCCGCAAAGGGCUCCACUGAUUGAAAAAAGGGAUGCCUUACAACCAUCAGUACUGAUAGAGUCCUGGCAAGGUUUCUCGGUUUUGAUGUAUUGGUUAUGAUGGGUUUAUGAGAGUUGGAUGGUUUGCACAAAUUGACUAUUUGGUCCAAGAAGCAUGUCAUGUCUAUUGAAGUUUGCAUGCACUCCAGAUAAGUCCUUCUUUCCUUUCCCCGAAAAGGACACUUCUUAUUUAAAUUCAUUAUCAUGUACGUUGUUUACUUUUCUUUGAAUCCCUUUCGCUCUAAUUCUCCUCCGAAACUAAUACAAAGAAAAGAUGGCAAGAUUGAUUUUACAGGAUUUUGUUUGACAAAAAGCUAAAAUUCAAGAAAAGCACCCAGCCUCAGCAGGUGCAUCAAGUCGACCUCGACUAGCCAUGAUGGCCGAUGCUCCAGAGUCAAAAACUCUUGAAAAAAAAAGAAAUCAAAGUCAAGUUCCCAUAAAGGCAAAAUAAGAUGAAAAAGGCCAAGCCCCACACGGGUUAGUCAUCAUGUGAAAUUUGGGAAAGGUCAAGAUUCCCGGGUGUAAAAAUGAAAACAAUUUCCAGAAAGCCAGCGAGCAAUGGAGACUUUAUUGAAAGAGCUGGGGCCAAAAUCAAGUGAUUGAAACAAUCAAGGCCACAAAACCAACCACCAUUUCAAACUGACAAAUUGUUCUUUGAUUUGAAAAUAGGAAAAAUAGGUAUAAUCCAAAACAACUCCGCAAGGAGCAGGUGCGAUAAAAGCAAAGUAAGCAAAGACCAAAACGGUUCUGCAGCAAAAGUUAACCCAAAAAGGGAAGUCCCCUCCAAACUCUUUAUAAAUAAAAUAAAAAAAGAAAAAAUGAUGAAAUCAAAAGAAAAGAAAGAAGAAAAUUCAAAAUCAUGGUAGUAUAGAGUCUCUAAUCCCUAACUGCGUCUUUCUGAACAUAGGGUCCCACUCCCUAGUUGAUUCUGGCAUAACACGAUGACUCUUCCGGCAUAACCCGAUGACUCUUCCGGCAUAACCCGAUGACUUUUCUAGCAUAACCCGAUGACUUUUCCGGCAUAACCCGAUAAUUUUUCCUGCAUAGCCCGAUGACUUUUCCGGCAUAACCCGAUCACUCUUCCGGCAUAACCCAGUGACUUUUUCGGCAUAACCUGAUGACUCUUCUGGCAUAACCCAAUGACUCUUCCGGCAUAACCCAAUGAUUUUUCCAACAAAGGGUUCCACUCCCUAGCUGAUGCCAGCAUAACCUGGUAAUUUUUUCCACUAUAGGGUCCCACUCCUUAGCUGAUGCCGGCAUAACCUGGUAAUCUUUUCCAACAUAGGGUCCCACUCCCUAGCUGAUGCCAGGAUAACCUGGUAAUCUUUUCCAUCAUAGGGUCACAUUCCUUAGUUGAUGCUAGCAUAACUUGGUAAUCUUUCCAACUUAGGGCCUCCAAUCCUAGUUGAUUUCAUUUUAGAUAUAAGGGUCCCCACUCCCUAAUCUCUUUUUUCUCAAGGAUACACAAUCCUGAUUUUAUUGCUUUCAAUAAAGAAGUAGUUUAGAUUUUUGUUACAAUAACUCACGAAAUUUUUCUAGUGAAAACUAGGGCAGAAAAAUUUCGCUUGUUUGUUUGUUUUGGUGCCUAAACAGGUUUUUACCGUAAGGAACGAGGUUUGAGAUGACCAAAAGAAGAAGUCCCAAUCCAAAUAAAAGAAAAGAAGAACAAGAAAAGAAGUGAAUUCUAAGUGUAGAAGCGGAGAAAAGAUGUGGACUGCUCAAGAUGUGAUUGAAGUCACAAGCUUUGCAUAUCCCUCCUUGAUCUGAAAAGCUAAAGAAAAGUGAACCAGCGUUCGCAGCUAACGAGCAUCAAGAUUCAGAUCAGAGUCAGGAAGAACCAGCCAAGACUCAAGAUCAAGCUUCAGAAGGUUCAUAAAUAGGAAUCCUGUAACUCGUAGUUGAUAGGCUUAGUUUUUCAUUUUUCAUUUUGGUGUAAUAAGGAGCUCAGCAAGCAGAAACAGCAGCAACAGCUGUGAAAUCACAGUUUCUCGGUAGUCCCACCUACCGAAACUUCUAGAAAUACGCUGACCUGACUCUUUUAUAGCCAAGGAUAUGUAAGCAACCUCCGAAGAAUGGUUUGAUCAGAUUUUUUCCAAAAAAUAUUUCCCAGGGAGUAUCCAAACAGGCAAAAAUCGCUCAUAAUUGCUCACUUUAUCUUUGCCCAAAAACUCUUCAUGUUUCCGAGCAAAGAGGGGCAACUAUGAGCAUGUAAUUUUUUUCCAACUAAAAGAUACUCCUACAAAAUUAAAGAGAUAGAUUUUUUUCAAACUGUUUUUCAAUUUUAUAGGAUUUUUGUAAUAUUUUUACUAAUUGUUUGCAUAUUGUGCACAUUUAAUUUUGUUAAAAUCGUGAAAAAUACCCCAAAAAUGUCAAAAAUUUCAUGUAUUACAUAUUAGGUUUUUUGUUCAUAUUUUAGGAUUAAUUGGUUAUUAAUUGCUUUAUUAAAAUGAAAAAUCACAAAAAGAUAUUGUUCAUUUUACAUUUUUUAGCUCUCAAUAUUAAAUUAGUAAUUUCUCUUCAUCAAUUUAGGAUUAGUUAAUUUUGUAAAAAUUUAUAAAUAGAUAAUUAGUUUGAUUUUACAGAUUAGAUUAAUUUAGGACUUUCAUUAAUUAAAGAAAAGAAAAAGAAAAAAUAAAGAGAGGGAAAUAGGAAGAAUAUUUGGUCUUGCUCUUAAAUUUGGCCAAUUCCUAAAUGGUCCAAUUAAUUUUAAGUGUCUAGCCCAAAAUUCGCCCUAAAUUUAACCCCCAAACCCGGUCCAAAUCCGAUCUAACCCACUAAUAAAUGAAGCGACGUUGUUUCAUGGUGCUUGAUCCCAGCCGUUGGAUCCCCUCGAUCUAACGGCUCGCAAGUUAACACCCACAAUCCUUAAAUAUGUCCGAACAGGCCCUCCCUCCCCCCUCCCCCCAAACCCCUAACACCCAGUUCAUUUCCUCUCUCAAACUCUCUCAAACGAGAAACUCUAGCCGCCCUUUUAACCCCCACCGUCUCCGCCGUAUUCCGCCUCCUGGAAAUCGCCCCACGGCGGCAGACCACCUCUAAACUAAACCAAAUUAAUACCAGACAAUCACCCUCUCCUCCUUUUUCCAUAUCUCAUAAUCAUUCCCUUCAAACAAGUCUAGAAAUUCUCAAAUCUUGGAUCUAGGAUAGAAACCCUAGUUUGCCAAAUUUGGUCAAUUUUUCUUUUGUUUCCUUCGAGUUUCAAGACUCGAUUUGGGUUUAAAACCUACGCUAAUUGAGCGUUAUCAACAAGAACGAUUGAUUAAAUUUUUGGACUCAUCUCGACGUUGUUCCAAUUUGCGAGAAUCUUGUUAAGUCAGAUAGGUACAUUUUCUUUCUUUCUUCUUUCUUUGCUUGAUAUUGUUCUUUAUUUCUCUCUUUUUUCUGGUGGUGCAUGUGUUUGGCUGCGUGUUUAGAUUAAUUAGUAUUUUUGAAAUCACUAUUAGGAUAAUUCUGAAAAUUGUUCGAAUAUGCUGAACUUCGUGAUUAAAGAAAAUAGCCUAAUUAUCUGUAAGAUAGCUUAAUUACAUAUUUUGUUUAACUCAGUCAAGUUUAGAUUAAUUAGGAUUAAUUAUUAGGUUUUAGUACAUUAUUAUUCUUGUUCUGCAUUUUUACUACUAUUUUUUUGUUGUUGUUGUUUGUUUGGAAUUCAAAUUUUUUUAUUUGUAGGUUUAAUUAGAUGAAAUGUCCUGUUCAAUUAUUGGUUUAGGUCUUAAUUUAGGAUUGCUUUAUCUAGGGCGCCUUAAUUCAGUUGUUUGAAUAUUUUAAAGAAUGAAGAUAGUAACAAAGUUUUUAGGGAUACUAUUAUAAACAAUGUUAGGAAUUUCAAAUGCUGGAAUCACCUAGAUGGUUCCAAAAGGUUCCCCAAGGGUUUUGAAAUAAGAAAUUAGGUCAAAUUGGUUUGAAAUUGCAAUAAGCUAAACUUAAAAGGGUAAAAUUGGUAUUGAUAAAUAAGAAAAAUAUCAGAAUGUUCUAGUAUGGGGCAGUUGUCCCCAUUUUUAGCAAUGCUAAAAUUGGGUGGGAAAAAUGACAGACAGCUGUUAAAAGAUGUUGUGCUAUCUGACAUUUCAAAAUUCUAGGGUAGAAUAUUCUCUUUUUAUGCUAUCUUUGUGCAUUCUAUAUAAAGAAUAGGCCAUCACUCACUCAUAGAGAGAUUAUCAUCAGCAUAUGCAUUCUAAAAGCCUCUUUGAAUACAAGGAAUUCUUAAAAAAGCACCUCCAUUUUCCUACUGAUUUCUUUCAUGUUUCUGGGUCUCAAAGGUAUAUUUAGAAGUAGAAAAUAGUUCUUUGUGGGGAUGUUUUGCUAUUUCUAUUAUUAAGAAGAUCGUUUAGCUCAACUUACCUUGGUCUUGUUGCCGUUGGUUGCUUCUGCUGCUGUUCUACUAUUUAUAGUUUUCUUUACUUCUUCUCCAAAGCAAGAGAUUUGUUUUCUAUUUGUCUAUCUUGCUGUAAUCAGGUAUUCACCUUAAAUCUGAGUUUAUUUUGACAUGAAUCAGUUGGUUUCUUUAUUUGUUCCAUGAAAAAUUCUGGUUUUUCAUCAUCAUUCUCUUAUGCUUAUUGUGUAAACUGGCAGCUCUUGACUUAAUUAAAUUCAUGUGUGUUUCUUCUGUUUAUUUGGUUUUGAAAUAAAGAAAAUUAGAAUACUUUUGCUCUACUAUUUGGUCACCUGAAUUAGUGUGGUUAUCUUGAGAGUUGUCGAACUAUCUCAUGUCAUCUUGAUUAUGUUGUGAUUUGGGUAUGUUUUCAAAGUUAAUAUUUCAUGUAUAAACUAGCUCAUUGUAAGUUGGAAAGUGACCAAGAUCGUUUAAUUCUAAAUGUUAAUAUAGAUAGCUAUUAGCAACACUUGGAGUAAGUGAUUUCAACUGUUAAAUUUUGUAUAGUUUCAGCACUAUUUGAACCUUGCAGAAUCAGUAUUAAUUCAAAAAGGUUUUACUAUAGAGUGAUUUUGUUAAAGUAUAUGGAUUUUUGUUGAGUCUGAGAAGGCUUAGUGAUGGCUACAUGGCUGUGGCUUGCUAAUCUGACCACCAGUUGGAUCAGAUUAGUGAAUAUAAGUAUAAAAGCUGGAUUUGGAGUCAUCUAUGGAAGGGAUUUAAACACAAGAUUGGUUAUGUCCUUUUCAGUUUAAUUAGCCUUAUGAACAAUCCAUAUAAAUAUUUAAGGAUUCAUGUCUGUUAUCCCUUUUGAUGAUUGUAUUAUGAUUCGCGAGAUUUGUAAAUGUUAGAAAUGUAAUUAAUUUGUCUUGCCUUAGAUCAGUAUAAAUAGUUCAGUUGUUCAUCUUCUUUGUUUCGACAUUUUUUUUCUUUAAGUCUGGAAAUUUGAAUGGAUUAAGGCAGAUUUUUCCUUAGUACUGCAUUGUUCUGAUUAGGACUUAACGCAUUGGGCUUCACUGCAAGCCCACUUGCAGUCGCGUUUUAGACCCUUUGGAGGUCAAUUGCUACUAUGUUACAGUGGUGUUAUCAUGAGAUAAAUUCUCAUUUAAAAUAAAUAUUUGAAAGCAACCUGUUUCUUAAUUUAAUUCAAUUGAUUUUUUGAAGUGUUUAAUAUUCUAACAGUCCAUAUAAGUUAGCUUCGAGAUUCACCUUGUUUAAUGUAUUCCUAUCUCCAGAAUAACUCUAUAGCUAUAGAUCUCCUUAUGCUUAGUCUCAAACCUUAGAAAAAUAAUCAAUUUAUGAACAUCCGUAGUUUGCUUUAGGCGCGUUUAUUAUAAAUCAUCGUGACUAUGGGUACGAUUCCCGUGGCAUAGUCGUGAUACAUAAUUCCUAAAGUCGGGGGUGCAUUUCAUAUGACCCGAUCCUAACAAGUUCGAAUAAUAAUAAAAUAAACAUAUCGUCAAUCGCGGGUGCAUUUCAUGUAGCGUGGUUUGCGGUGUGUUCCAAAACGGCAAGUGUACGACAAUCGUAACUUGUUCAAGAAACAAUUCCAUAAAUCCUAAAAAGAGCGUUUAAAAUAAUUAAAAGCGGUUAUAUGGUUAAAAUGCACAAUAGGUUUUAAAACAUGUAAUUAAUCAGAUAAUUAGGUCAAUUAUUAAUAGUUAAGCGACCGUGCUAGAACCACGGAACCCGAAAAUGCCUAACACCUUCUCCCGGGUUAACAUAAUUCCUUACCUAGUUUUUCUAGUUUCGCAGACUUUUAAAUAAAGUCAAAAUUUUCCUCGAUUUGGGAUUUAUAAUAAAUGGGUGACUUGGGACACCAAAUAAACUAUUUCAAGUGGCGACUCAGAAUAAAUAAAAUAAUCUCAUUUCGAUUAUGUCACUUUAAUUGGAAAAACUCCCUUAUAUCGCCUCGGGUAAAAAAGGAGGUGUGACAGCUGCAAGCCACCAACAAAGCUUUAGAGUCAGGAGGUAUUUCUAAGAAGAAGGAAGUGGGUGCUAUAAUGGUAGCCCAGGGCCUUAAGUCUCCUCUCACCUAUCAAACACAUCCACCCACAAACCAACCCUCACCUCCAAAAUAUCAAUACCCCGCCACCACCUACCAUACUAUAAUGCCCAACUUGCAUAUUACCAUUCACCUCCUGCCACCCGCCACAACUAUCCUAAACCAUGACCAAACUUUGAUCGUAGAGCUCCUAGACAAUACACCCUUAUCGCUGAACCCAUAGUCCAAUUGUAUGAAAGACUAAAGGUUGCUGGUUAUGUCACCCCCAUUCUCGCUGUUGUUGUUAAAAACCCUUCCCAGUGGUUAACUUGUGCCUACCAUUCAGGCAUGAAGGUGAGGAAUAUCGCAUGUUGAAGGACAAGAUCCAGACGAGGUUAAGUUGUAAACACUUUGUGUUUAAAUAAUUAUGGCUAUGUGUGUAACUCUUGUAAAAUAUUAUGGGGAAAUAAGUCAAGAUAUACCUUAGUUUCUGAAAUUAUAUAGAUCUUAGACUAAAGAGGAUGUUGAAAAUCUCGUUGGACAACAACUCUUAAAUUUGAAAGAGUCAAUUCCUUUUUGAAAGUUAGCCUUGCACUUCAUUUCUGGUUUUGAAAGGGGAACUUCCGGCUUCGUUAAGUAUUUUUCGGGGCUUCAAAAUCUUUAAGAAAGGGUUUGCAAAACACAGCGGACUAAUGGUGUGAACAACUUAUGAUUAGCGAAUGGAGGAUUAGAUACUAACUAAUAUUUCUUUUAAUCCUAUGUUCUUUAAGGCUUACCUAAGUUAUUUAUGUAAUUCAAAAGGUAAAUCAAAAUACUUAUUGAAUAUGGUGAGAGCAAUUUUAUAUACAUGUAAAGAAUAUAGAUAAGUGAAAUAUUAGUAAAAGUAGUAAAGGAUGAAGAAUGACUCUGGUUUGGGCCUGAAAGAGGUAGGCCCAAUAAUCAGCAGGAAGGGACAACAUUAGGCUCCAGACUUCAAAUGCAAUGAUGUUGGGCUUGGGCCUGAGUUCUUGGAGAACUUAUUAGGCCCAAUAGUUGUACAUGUUUAAAAUGAAAGCGAGAAAGUCAUUAGAAAACAAUGUUAUAUACAUUUAUCUAUACAUGAACUAUGUGAGCAACUGACUUAAACAAAACGUAGCAACUAACAAUACCUAAAAUAUUAUGAAGGGUCAUACCAAUGGGGUGGUUAUGCAUAUCAAAGGAUUUACACCGAAAAAUUUUCAUUGUCAUUAAACACUAAACCCAAAGGGAGUAAUGAAUAUCAAUGAAUUAAUGGCUAAGGGUAGAGUUCCACUCAAGGCCAAAGUCUCAUUUGAAUCCCCCGACACUUUAAAGUUUCCAAGGGAUUCAAGACCCAAGGCAAUGCUUGUGUCAAGGAGGGUAGUCCAACUAAAAGUUAAACUCUAGUCCUAAAUACCCCUAACCACUAAUAAUUUAUUCUUCCCCACAUGUUUAAGUGCCAACAAGGAACUUUCAAUGCAAACCGAUUAACAUAACAUUGACAUACCAUAGAAGUAUAUACCCCUUUUAAUAGAGCCCAACAGAAUACCGUGAGAAAAUAAGGUAGUUUAUUUACACCAUCAUAACCGUGUUUACAAACCAAGUAAAUGAUUAACACAAUAAAAGAUUAAAGGGUUGAGUUUUAGACACAUAUAGAAGCAUGGACAUUGUUAUGUGACCAUCAGAGAACCUAAGCAUCUGAGAUCAGAUAAUCUCGAAGGUAAAAAGAAAAGCAUACAGAUCAUCCUUUCAACAGUUAAUGAAUGCAAGUGUAUUUGCUUUUAUAGCCUCUUAAUUAGACCAUUGUGUAAACUCAGGUCUGGUUUUAUCAUAUACAAGUUAAUGAGAUUACUAGAAGCUUUGAAAAUAUCAACAAGGUUUCAAAUAAAUAGUCGUAUUCAGAAUUUCUACAGAUACUAUUAGAGAUGCCAAAAUACACCUAGAGUCUCAAUCAAGACUAUUGAUUCAUAAAUCUAGAUAGACCUCAUGCCACCAGAAGAUUAUAAGAUUAUAAAAUUAUAAAACAAACACAUAGAAGAUUUCAGGAUAAAUUGUUGCUACGGGCUCCAAAUAUGGAGCCUGGAACCCAUUUGGGAAUAUUUAAUUAUAAAAAUUAAAUAUUUAAUUUAUAAACUAACAUGUAAAAUAAUAAAACUAACGCAUAGAAAGAAUUGGUGCUACUGGGCUUCAAAUAUGGUUUGGAGCCUAGAACCCACAUGGAAAUAUUUAAUUAUAAAAAUUAAAUAUUUAAUUUACAAACUAACAUGUAAAAUAAUAAAACUAAUACAUAGAAUAAAUUGGUGCUACUGGACUCCAAAUAUGGAGCCUAGAACCCAUAUGGGAAUAUUUAAUUAAAUAAAUUAAAUAUUUAAUUUACAAACUAACAUGUAAAAUAAUAAAACUAACGCAUAGAAUAAAUUGGUGCUACUGGGCUCUAAAUAUGGAGCCUGGAACCCAUAUAUGAAUAUUUAAUUAUAAAAAUUAAAUAUUUAAUUUAUGAACUAAUAUGUAAAAUAAUAAAACAAACACAUAGAAUAAAUUGGUGCUACUGGGAUCCAAAUGUGGAGCCUGGAACCCAUAUGUGAAUAUUUAAUUAUAAAAAUUAAUUAUUUAAUUUGCAAACUAACAUAUAAAAUUAUAAUAAAACUAACACAUGGAAGAAUUUAGGAUAUCUUGGUGCUACUGGGCCUCAAGUAUCUGGCCUAGAACCCUUACGUAAAUACAUCAUAAUUAAAUAUUAUAUAAUUAUAAAAUUUAAUUAUUUAAUUUACAAAACAAAUAUUUAAAAUUAUAAAACUAACAUGUAAUUAAUGUUGUUUAAUUUACAGUAGACGACAUGGAUGUGUUGCCUAUUCAUCCGGGACCCUACAGCGAUGCGCUACUCUCGUUACAGGGCGAUCAUAGGUCCGCCCAUAUAUAGGAGGGUAAGUUACUAACCGAUACUCUCCGCGCCAGGAGAGUGGACGACAUGUGGGACUUUCUGCAUGACAGAGUUCUCCAUGAUCGGGUAGUCGCGCCUGCGGGACACGGGUUUCUACAGGAUGAUUGAGAUUGGGCGGCUGCAGCUCGAUUGGGCUUUGCUCACGGCCUUGAUAGAGCGGUGGUGACCAGAGACGCAUACAUUCCACCUGCCCAUUAGCGAGGCCACCAUCACACUGCAGGACGUGGAGGUGUUAUACGGGUUUCCCUUAGAUGGACUGCCCGUUUCUCUGCCGGAGGGCAUGAGAGAGAUGACACAUGUGCAGUACCUGGACUUGCUGUAGCGGCUCACAAGUUUCCGGUCAGAAUAUGAGACUGUGUUGCAUGGGACCAGUCGUUUUCCGUUGACAACUAUUCGACUAUGGUGGGAGGCAUUGCAUCCUCAGAUCGAUGGCGCUACACUAGAUGAUCAUGUUGACAGGCAUACGAGGUUGCUGCUACUCCUGUUGUUUGGAGGGGUCUUGUUCCUGAACACUUCGGGGAACCUAGUCAGCUUGAGAUUUCUUCAUCAUCUUGAGCGGCUAGAUGAUUUACCCCAGUACAGCUGGGGAUCUACUGUUCUCGCCUACUUAUACAGAUGCAUGUGCCGGGCGAGCAUGGGUACCCAGCAUGAGGUUGUUGGAUUCUUGCCGCUACUACAGGUGACAACCUAUUCGAAUACUCUAUUCAUUUUAACAUACCUAGUAAAAAUAUAUCUUAACUUUUACGUCAACCCUUUUAUGUUAGGUUUGGUCCUGGGAGCGGUUCUUGCAGUUGCAACCACCUCUACCACCAUUAGAUCCGGAGUUGCUCCCUCUAGCUAGGAGGUGGGUACGCCAGCGACGACAUACGCGCGAGUACGAGGCUCGACAUAAUCUCUCCUUGUGCAGGGAUAUAUUGGAUUUGUUGGAUGGCGCACAGGUAAAUGUAUAACUAAGUUUACUUGUAAUUUCUUCAAACAGAAGUUGCGUAUACUAACAUUUUGUGUUCUUCCUUAAUAGUUCAUCUGGACGCCAUACAGCGACGCGCUGAUAGCUUGCUUGCCCGAUUGUUGCUCAGUUGGCUGUGAUAUUUGGGCCUCUUCCGUCCCGUUAUCCUGCCUUAAUAUUGUGGAGCAUCAUGCCACCAAGCGGGUACUUCGCCAAUUUGGCAAGCUGCAGCUCGUACCGACAGCGCCCACCUGGGAGGCCAUAUAUUACUAGCGGGAUGAUUGUCACGGGGUGGACGACGCAUAUUUGGCAUGGCUACAGGAUCAGAUAUUUACUUGGGACCAGCGAUUAGAGCUGAUUCCGCCCCCUUCCACAAACUCUGGAGGAUGCUGAGCAUGAGUAUCUGCCCUGGUACCGCAACUUUACCCAACGUUUCAUCGGGAACCCCAUUCACCGAGCUGGCAGUCAGUACGUUCCAUACGUCGAGAGGCACGGGGAACUGAUAUGUUAUUUGGUAUUCUUACUUAUAAUUGUGAUAUAGCAUUCUAUAAUUUAUAUUUUUACAUGUUAUGCAGGAUAUUAGUCUACAUUUAGUCCACCAGUUGGGACUGCAGAUGCAACAGCAUGUCAGCGAUCCUGCGAUCGCUUUGCAGGAGUAUAGCCGGCAGUUUACGGAGCUGGCUGCCCGGACACUACAUCGAGCUAGAGAGAAAGAGCGCUUAGAGAACGCCCCUGCUUAUAUUGUGCCAGAGAACUACCAUAGGGUAGGCCCGUAGCAAGACAGAGGGGACGAGGCAGGGGUGCCCCACGGGGUCGUGGGGACCGGCGAGGAGGAGGUCCCCUGUCACGCCCCAAACUUGGGGAGGCUUAGUUGGCACCCGAUGUCGAGCUGGCCCGAGCGAACCACUCUGUAACUCAUAAUUAUUCGAUCAAAAGUAGAAGAUACCUAGUUCAAAUUAGCUGAACUCAUUCUUUUUGUAACUAUCAUGGGCCAACAUGACUAACAACUCAUAAUAUACAACUGUAAGUGGGCAACACUGUAUCAAUAAAACUAUCGUUCUUAAGACAUGAAUACAUAUGGGCCUUCAAGGACUCUAACAUACCGUAUAAACUGAACCUCUGUAUACAAAUCCUCUAAGAUUAAUUGACAUCAAGUGGGACAGGGUACCGACCCGUAAGUCUGUAGCAAAAAUCUGACACGAUGACACAUAGACUCGGCUGCACUCUGAAUGAGGUGGAGUCUUACCGAUCCUUCACUGAGUGCAAAUCUCGUCUACUAUGAGGGCUCGUGAAACUGAUUAUCUAUAUCUGCAGGCAUGAAUGCAGCAUCCCCAACAAAAGGACAUCAGUACGAAUAAUGUACUGAGUAUGUAAGGCAUGUAAAUAUAUAUAAAGAGCAUGGAGGAAACAUGAAGUAAAGGACUCAACCUGUAAGUCUGAAUAGCUCUGUAAAUCAUGAAAUANNNNNNNNNNNNNNNNNNNNNNNNNAUCCUAUCAUAUCAUUUCAGCCACUGUGGGCAGUAUCAUCAUCGUAUACCAGUUGAUCAGGUGGUGGUGCGUAUAUAACGCUAUAACCUUUCCUAUAUACAUAUAUAUACAUAUAUAUAUAUAUAUAUACAUAUAUAUAUAUAUAUACGCAUAUAUAACGCCAUAACAUCAUCACGCCUCUGAGGGCAUCCCAUCAUAUCAUCUCGACCACUGUAGGCAAAUUAUCAACGUAUACCAGCUGAUCAGGUGAUGGUGUGUAUAUAACGUCAUAACCUUUCCCAUAUCCCAUAUACAUAUACAUACAUAUAUACGCGUAUAUAACGCCGUCUGAGUCAUAUUUCAGCCAAUGUGGGCAACAUCAUCAUCAUAUACCAACUAAUUAGGUGGUGAUGUGUAUAUAACGCGUAACCUUUUUCCCGUAUCCCAUAUAAAUAUAAUAUACAUAUAUACGCGUAUAUAAUGUCAUCUGGUCAUGGGUCAAUGCACAUGUAUAAAUGGGUGAAAUGCAUGAAAAAUACGUAAUAACAUUAAUAUUCCUUCCGGAUAACCUUUUUCAACUGUGUAUUAUUCUGAGACCCAUGAACAUGAAGUAAUAAUAUUCUUCAUGGGGAAUCAAGAAUAAAGACACCUCUAAUAACUCUAUGAAUAGAGUAAUUUAUGGAAACUGUGUAUUUGUUUGUUUCUUCAAUAUAAUUUGGACCAUGCCAAAAGAAAGAAGGGAUGACCUUAACAUACCUGGACCAAUUCUCUUGACAAUCCUUCUAGUAAAAAUCUUUUGCGAAGAACACGUAACACCGAAUCAAAGUAGGAAAAAUAUCCUUAUAUUUUCCUAGUUGGCUAAUGGUUCUUGCAAAGUUUUCUUAUAUCUCCUCAGAUGUUAUAACGAUUAAUAUCAUUUUGGCAAUGGCUUCUUAUUUCUUAACCAUGAGUCUCCAAUGUCUUCCUUGAAGCCAACAUGAAAUCUCAAUUCACUGUUAAAAAGUCUUAAACAACUCAAAUUUCCUUAGUUUGAGAAAGUUUAUUCUAUUCUUGUUACCUGCAACGAACCAAAAGUCUAGCAAGUUAUUUGGUUUGCUUGGUAUAUGAUAAACGCGGUUUUCACCAAUUCAAAUAAAAUAAUUUAAAGAGGAACUCAAGAGAUUUCCAAAGACCUGUCAAGCUGGAUUUUAAAAUACUAUGAGAGUAUUAAAGCCAAACAAAUAUUCAAUAGACAAAAAAGACGCAAAGAAUAAAAAACUCUUGGUCAUGUGAUAAGAAUUUUGAAGUGUGCGCAAAAAAAUGAUGAAAGAAUAUUAAGUUAUCAUGAAGUUCUGUAAGUUGAUGUAAAUAAAUGUGAAGUACUACACUAAAAAAUCAUUUACAUCACAUGUUCUCAAGAGAAAUACCUUUAAAAAGAUUGUUUAUCAUCUACUGCAUCAAAUUUUAAAGAUGUAUAUCCUCAAAAAGGCAUAAACUUUUUCUCUUAAGUAAAGAAAAAAAAGAAGAGAGGAUUCAAAUCCAAACUUCAAAGCAUGUCUAGAGAGAACCAUAUCAUGAAUAGCAUUUUCCUGGACAUUUCUGUUGAACUUUUCUUUUUCAAGAUAGAGUUUUUGUGGCAUCUUUGUGUCUUGUGAUUCUUUUUGCUCUAACAGCAUUACUGAAUGCACUUAGUUUACUCCACACAUAUCUCAACUAGGUUGGGUUUUCUUGAUGACUUGGCCACAAUUCUCUAGAAUUGUGCCACUUAAUGCAUGACUCUAAGAGUCAUUAUUUGUGAUGACCCAAAAGGUCAUUAUUUGUUUUAAAAGUGAAUUCUACGUUUUGAGACCUUAAAAACCUCUUUCGGUAUUACCUUUAUUUGCGUGCACAGUCCGGGCGCAUAGCCAGAAAGCCACUUUGUGAAAUUCUGUGAAAAAUGAUGCAUUUUGCAUUUAAAAUGAGUUUAAGUUGACUUCGGUCAAUAUUUUAGGUAAACGUACCUGGACCCAUGAUUGGACAGUCCCGGAGGGUCCGUAGGAAAAUAUAGGACUUGGGCGUAUGCCCGGAAUCGAACUCCGAGGUCCCAAGCCCGAGAAAUGAAUUUUUUAAAGAAAAUUAUUUUCUGAAAUUGUUUAUGAUUUUUGAAAAUGAAAAGUGUUUAAAACUUGAUAGUAUCGGGCCCGUAUUUUAGUUUUGGCACCCGGUACAGGUCUUAUAUGUGAUUUAAGAUAAGUCUAUGAAGUUUGGUAAGAAACGGACUUGAAACGACGUGAAUCAAAUCGUUUUUGAGAAAAAUUGGAAAAUUUGAAGUUUUUAAGAAAUUUCAUGAUUUCGAUGCUAAAUUCAUAAUUGUUGAUGUUAUUUUAGUGAUUUGAAUGCACGAGCGAGUCUGUAUGAUGUUUUUAGGAUGGUGUGCAUAUUUGGUUUGGAGCCCCGAGGGCUCGGGUGAGUUUUGAAUAGGCCACGGGGUGGAUUUUUGGACUUAAGGAAUUACAGGCUUCAGCUGUUUCUGUGCAGGCCUGCAGGCUUCCCAUUUGCGAAGCCUGGCUAGCAAAUGCGAUAUCGCAAAUGUGAGGGCUAUGUCGCAAUUGUGAAAGUAGCCCAGGCCAGCCUAUCUUGCAAUUGCGAGUGUUUUAAUCGCAAAUGCGAUCCCCCAGCUUGUGGCCAGUCGUCGCAAAUACGACAGGUUGGUCGCAUUUUCCAGCUCGCAAAUACGAGCCCAUUUUCGCAAAUGCGAACUUAGCAGAAGUUUGGGUUUGCAAUUGCGAACCCUGAUCGCAAUUCUCAUAUCUGCAACCUGUAAUUUUAUAACUUAGCCGAAAAUCUCUCAUUUUUCACUCUUUCAAAACCAAAACAUUCUUGGGCGAUUUUUCAAAGAUAACUCUUCUUCCAAAUCGAUUGUAAGUCAAUUUUAACUCGUUUUCUGCAAUGAUUAACAUCUUUUCGCAUGAUUUCAACUCAAAAUCAAUGAUUUUCAUGGGGGAAAUUGGGUGUUUUGGGUAGAACUUAGGUUUUUCAAAAAUUGGGGAUUUGGACCUCAAUUUGAGGUCUGAUUUCGAAACAAAUUAUAUAUUUGGGUUCAUGGCGGAAUGGAUAAUCGGAUUUUGGUUCGAACCUCGGGUUUUGGCCAUGUGGGCCCGGGGGCGAUUUUUGACUUUUUGGGUAAAACUUUAGAAAACUCAUUUUUCAUGCAUUAGAAUUGAUUCAUUUAGCAUUUAUUAAUGUACUUAAGUAACUUGUAUCUAGAUACGAGCGAAUUGGUGGUGGAAUCAAGUGGUAAAGCGAUAGUAGAAGCUUGAAUUAUGUUCGUGGUAUCGAGGUAACUGUUUGGUCCAACCUUAGCUUGAGGGAUUAAGAGUCGAGUCCUAUUUGCUAAGUGGUAUUUGUCGAGUAUGACGUAUAGGCAUGGUGACGAGUAUCUAUACGUUGGUGUCAAGUAUGCCAGUGAGUCUUAUAUUGUGACUAUUACGACUUCGUUGUAUUAUUCAUGAUUUGAUGAUGAUUUCUAUUGUUGGGCAAAGUUUGUGGAAGUAAUUGAGACAUUUGAAUAUUGAGGAGCGUUGGCUCAAGUUGUACAAUGAAAUGUUAAAGUAUAAAUGGAAAUUGAACCUUUUAGAGCAUUGGCUCAAAGUGGUGAAGUGAGUUGUGAAGUAAAAAUGAAAAAGAGAAGAGAAUCAUUAUUUUAUCUCCCUUGCCGGGAUAUUGUUUCUUUUCAUAUUAUCUCCCUUGUCGGGAUGUUGAUGUUUCUUUUGAUGUUAUUCCCUUGCCGGGACUUGAUAGUUGAACUAUUGUUCCCUUGCCGGGAUUCUUAUCGUAAUUUCAUUUAUUCCCUCACCCUAUUAUUUGUGAUUGUUGUUUGGGUGAGGAAGAGUGUUAAAGCACGAAGGGUGAUGUCGUGUAUUGUUUUGGUGAGAGAGUGUUAAAGCACGAAGGGUGAUGCCGUGUAUGAUUUGUGAGGAAAGAGUGUAAAGCACGAAGGGUGAUGCUGUGUCGCACGAUGUACCAUUUCGUGCCGAUUAUAUUGAUUAUAUGGUUAGGGUGAGAGUAAAAGCACGAAGGGUGAUGCCGCGCACAUUUUCAUUACUUGAUUGCUUUGGUGAGGACGAGAGUAAAAGCACGAAGGGCGAUGUCGUGCAUUUAUUGAUUUCUGAUUCUUUGUUGAUAUCUGAGAUAUAUUGUUUCUUUCAAUUUCCUACUGUCUUUCUAUUCUAAAUUGAUAGUUCCCCCGCAACAUGUUAUCCAUCUCAUACUUGAUUGUAUAUUUCUGUUCUUUUUUUCCGUUAUAUAUAGUUAAAUUGCACAGGUUUAUUUGGUAGUCUGGUCCUAGCCUUGUCACUACUUCGCCGAGGUUAGGCUAGGCACUUACCAGCACAUGGGGUCGGUUAUGCUAAUACUACACUCUGCACUAUGUGCAAAUCCCGAAGCAACAACAUUUGGACCGUAGAUUGCUUCAGUCCACGCAGAGAUCCAAGGUAGACCUAUAGGCAUCCGCAGGCCCUGGCGUCUCCCUUUAUUCCUAUUUCAUUUCCUUAAUUCAGAAACAGUGUAUUGUUUGUUUUCAGACUUUGUAUGUAGCAUUCUUAAAUCAUUUGUGGUAUUGUGACACCAGUUCUGGGUGGUCGAGGUUCAUGCAGUUGUAUUAGACAUAUAUAUUCAGAUAAUUUACUGCAUUUCUUCCGCUUAUUGAAAUUUUCUACUGUCCACACGCUUUGGCUUUAUAAUUGUUAAAGAGUAUAAAAUGGAUAAAGAACCAAUUUGUUCAAAUAAUUGGCUUGCCUAGCUCACAUUAGUAGGCACCAUCACGACUCCCGGGGGAGGAAAAUCCGGGUCGUGACAAGUUGGUAUAAAAACUCUAGGUUACAUGGAUCUCACAGUUCACAGACUCCUGCUACUCGCACUCCGGAGCAGGUAGCUCCCCAGUUCCAGACUCCAGCAGUUCAGCCAGUUGGAGCAGUUCAGCCGAGUGUGGUAGCUCAGACCGGUGAUGAAGCAGUUAUGUUUGUCGAUGCUUUGUGGAGGUUGGACAGGUUCACCAAGCUCUUCACUACUACUUUCAGCGGUUCAUCUUCAGAGGAUCCCCAUGAUUAUCUAGACAGUUGUCAUGAGGUUCUUAGGAACGAGGGAAUAGUCGAGACCAAUGCGGUCGAUUUUGCUACUUUUCGCUUGUUUGGAUACGCGAAGACUUGGUGGAGAGAUUAUUGCUUGGCUAGAACAGUCGGAUCACCAGCUUUGACUUGGGAGCAAUUUACUCAACUAUUUCUGGAGAAGUUUCUCCCUAUUACUCAGAGAGAGAUCUAUCGGAGGCAGUUUGAGCGUCUCCAAUAGGGUUCCAUGACAGUUACUUAGUAUGAGACUAGAUUCAUCGACUUGACACGUCGUGCUCUUAUCAUACUUCCCACUGAGAGAGAUAGGGUGAGGAGGUUCAUUGAGGGACUUAUUCAGCCGAUUCGACUUCAGAUGGUCAAGGAGACUAGGAGUGAGAUUUCUUUCCAGGAGACGGCCAAUAUGCCCAGGAGAGUUGAGAUGGUUCUAUCGCAGGGAGGUGGUCAAGGGUCUGAAAAGAGGUCUCAUCAUUCAGGCCGAUUUAGUGGUACCUCGUCUGGA